Molecule: long non-coding RNA, 361 nt
Filed under: Pandoravirus dulcis
Description: putative ncRNA
Source: RNAcentral
AGGCGCUGCCUGCGGGCCUCGGCUGCGCGCCGACGCAGCACCUCGGCGCCCACCAGCGCGCGGAUGCUAGCGGCGGCGGUGUCCUCGGGCGCUUCCAUCGCGCUGUCGGUGUGCCGUCCUUUUUCUCUCUCCUCUGUCGGCUCUUUUUUUUUUCUAAUUCUCUCUCUCUUCGCCGUUCUCGUUGUACUCUAUGUGUGCUCUCUGUGUGCGCGCCCUCUCGGUACUGUUCUCUAACCCGAUUUGGGUGUCUUUCUGUCUUUGUCUCUUCCCGGUUUGGCCUUAUUUGGGAGCGCACGUGCGGAUUGGUUCGCGCGCGCGACCAAGCAUAUACAGCGUUGAAAAAAAAAAGGUAAAAGAGCAG